AUGAUGGGAAAGGGGAUGGGAGAGACUCUCAGCUCUCAGCCUAACAGCUCAAGGAUUCCCUGGACCCCACCUCUGCCCCAGCCCAGCCUUACUGCUAAGGUGUCAACAGACGAGGUGGUCGACUUCAGGCGCGCUCGGCCCCGGCCUCGGCCCCCGUGGGACCCACCUCGGGGGCGCCUCCGCCCAGGGAAGCUGCUGCUGCGACCCUGUGCCCAAGGGGAGAGGGGAGUUACAGCACUGGGGAGCCCAGUGGGACCCCAAAAUGGGGUAAGUGGCGUCUCCCUUACCUGCUUGACACGGGAGCGCCCGGGAGAGCUGCGGCGCCGGCUCUUGUCCCCGUCACCUUUGGCUGCUGGCUCGAAGAGCAGCGAGUCAUCGGUCUCAGCACCCAGGGGCAGCGACCCAGCGUCCUCCUUCUGCAGGCUGGCAUCAGCCGAGGCCGGGCCCAGCUCAGGGGACAGCGACCCCCCACCCUCAGGAUCCGGGGACCCCAGCAGCGGCUCCGAGCCGGGGAAGCUGCUGCUCGUGUCCCCCUGGCUCAGGUUGGAGAUCUCGUUGAGGAUGUCGGGCCGCGGGCGCAGCGCGGGGGGCUCGGGGCACCCCUCGUCCCCGUGCCCCAGCAGCUUCUCGUUGGUAGUGCACACCUCCAUGGGGGUCUCAGGGCCCAGCUCCUCCGGUUCCAGGAGCAGGGGUGACCCCGAAGGGGACCCCUUGACUUCAGGGUCCCCCCCAGCCCGGGCUUCUUCCAGCGCGUCCUCCUCACUGAGCGGCGGGGAGCUUCCACUGGUGCCCUCCCUCUCCAGCCUCGGCGCCUCUUCUUCCUCCUCUUCCUCCUCCUCAGGCAGGCUCGGGAAGGGCCCCAGCUCAGGGGCUGGGCUGCCAUGGGGGGCAUCUCCAGGGGGGCUGGCUGGGGACUCCCCCUCGCCACCGGCCAUCUCCAUCUCCUCAUCCUCAGGCGGCUCAGCGGGGGCCAGGGUGACAGCAGGGGAGCCCAGGGGUGGCGGUGGGGAGCCAGGGGGGUCGGUGUCCAUGGCGGUGCCAGGGCUGCCAGGGGGCUCGGGCAGGGCUGGGGUGGGGGGCUCGAGCACCUCGUCCUCCUUAGCAUCAGGGGAGGGGGCUGGAGUCCGUGCAGGUGAGAUGGCACGGAGAGCUGCGGGUAGAGAGGGGGAAGGAUGA
RNAcentral lists this long non-coding RNA (1176 nucleotides) under Ficedula albicollis (Collared flycatcher). RNAcentral's name for it is "lncRNA (ENSFALG00000025439.1)". The record is from RNAcentral. Lineage: Eukaryota; Metazoa; Chordata; Aves; Passeriformes; Muscicapidae.